AUGAUAACUGGGUUUCGAAAAUUUCACUUUCUAGGGCCAUGGAAAUGAAGUUAUUUUAAGAGAGACUCUGUAUGAUGCUGUUAUAAAGAUGGACCAUACAUUCCUCGGUCCACGAGGAGGAAUUCUGCUACCUGGCAAACAACUAAAAGAUCUUGUUUUGACAUGGUCCUUUGUUGCUGACAAUGCCAUACGGUCACUGAUGGAGAAUGGUAACCAGACCAAAGCUAUCUCUUACUUUAAUGCUUUCUCUGAAUCUUGGCUGCCCUCUCAGUUGAUCAAGUGGGUUACCAGUCAGACUGGGAUGAGUGACAAAGCAAGGAGCCUGAAUGUUUCCACUCCUUUAGUUCUUCUCAGUGAGUUGCCU
Hibiscus syriacus is the source of this 364-nucleotide long non-coding RNA. RefSeq lists it as uncharacterized. The transcript has 3 exons. Lineage: Eukaryota; Viridiplantae; Streptophyta; Magnoliopsida; Malvales; Malvaceae. The record is from RefSeq and is a predicted model, not a curated record.